RNAcentral lists this ribosomal RNA (492 nucleotides) under uncultured bacterium. Its description in RNAcentral is "partial 16S ribosomal RNA". It matches the Rfam family "Bacterial small subunit ribosomal RNA", at positions 29 to 507 of the family's 1533-position model. The record is from RNAcentral.
AGUGAACGCUGGCGGUGGGCCUAACACAUGCAAGUCGAACGGCAGCACAGUAAGAGCUUGCUCUUACGGGUGGCGAGUGGCGGACGGGUGAGGAAUACAUCGGAAUCUACUUUUUCGUGGGGGAUAACGUAGGGAAACUUACGCUAAUACCGCAUACGACCUACGGGUGAAAGCAGGGGAUCUUCGGACCUUGCGCGAUUGAAUGAGCCGAUGUCGGAUUAGCUAGUUGGCGGGGUAAAGGCCCACCAAGGCGACGAUCCGUAGCUGGUCUGAGAGGAUGAUCAGCCACACUGGAACUGAGACACGGUCCAGACUCCUACGGGAGGCAGCAGUGGGGAAUAUUGGACAAUGGGCGCAAGCCUGAUCCAGCCAUACCGCGUGGGUGAAGAAGGCCUUCGGGUUGUAAAGCCCUUUUGUUGGGAAAGAAAAGCAGCAGGUUAAUACCCCGCUGUUCUGACGGUGCCCAAAGAAUAAGCACCGGCUAACUUCGUG